Non-coding RNA from Neolamprologus brichardi, 428 nucleotides. The record is from RefSeq and is a predicted model, not a curated record. NCBI's taxonomy places the organism in Eukaryota, Metazoa, Chordata, Actinopteri, Cichliformes, Cichlidae.
GUUUGAACAAAGACUCGAGCCUCUGGCUUUUAAAGCGAAACCACUUUGUGCCCUUGAAGAGAGAAAGCUGGUUCAUCAGAAUCCAGAAAUCGCUGCCUUGACCGAAUGCUGCAGAUGAAGGAGAAGAAGAACAGUUCCUCUCCUCUUUCUCUCUUUGGAGGCUGAAACUGCAGCAGAUGGACACUCUCCAAAGCUGAAAGUUUGCGUGACCCGGCCGAGAGAAAGAACAGCUGGAUGGCAGCCUGAGGCUUCAGUGGAUUUGAUGUGGCAGACAUGAAGAACCAGCACCAGUAUGGACGAAGUCAUCUGGAGAGACUGGUCUGCGUGGCUCUGUCCGCUCUGGCGUUGGUUCUGCUGGGACUUCUGGGUUCGGUCACAGGCUGUCCUGGUGUCUGCACCUGCUACGGCAAUACGACUGACUGCACCGC